ACAAAAAAGUUAUGGCUUUCUUCGAAAGGGAAAAUACGGCCACAAAUCCGAAUUUUGAGCAAAUAUACAAAAUUUCGACCUCAUUUAACUCAAAAAGUAGCACAUGAAGGUAUAUUUUUUAUUACAUAUUUGAUUUAAUCAGGCAAAAAUUAGCCUAUAUGGAAAUUUUCAUCAAACUGUAAAUACGGGAUCAAAACUGUAUCGUAUGCCCUUAA
Molecule: long non-coding RNA, 215 nt
Filed under: Mytilus galloprovincialis (Mediterranean mussel)
Lineage: Eukaryota; Metazoa; Mollusca; Bivalvia; Mytilida; Mytilidae
Source: RNAcentral